CGGAAGAGAUAAGUGCUGAAAGCAUCUAAGCACGAAACUUGCCCCGAGAUGAGUUCUCCCUGAGACUAUAAGUCUCCUGAAGGAACGUUGAAGACGACGACGUUGAUAGGCCGGGUGUGUAAGCGCAGCGAUGCGUUGAGCUAACCGGUACUAAUGAACCGUGAGGCUUAACCUUACAACGCCGAAG
RNAcentral lists this ribosomal RNA (187 nucleotides) under Klebsiella pneumoniae. Its description in RNAcentral is "partial 23S ribosomal RNA". It matches the Rfam family "Bacterial large subunit ribosomal RNA", at positions 2756 to 2925 of the family's 2925-position model. Lineage: Bacteria; Pseudomonadati; Pseudomonadota; Gammaproteobacteria; Enterobacterales; Enterobacteriaceae. The record is from RNAcentral.